AUUGUGAUGUAUGUUGAAGUAAUAAGAAAGACAACGGUUAACAUCAAAAUUAAAAAAAUGUGGCGAAAUAUCUCCAUCCUUUCCUACGUGGAAUGUCAACGCAAAUUUGAUAUAUGGACCUUUAACAUCUAAUCAGGUGUGUGGAUUAUCAAAAGAUGGUUGAUAGUAUUGCGUGAUCGGAUGGAGAAGCAGUUGAAGCAGAUGCUGAACAAUCUUUUGAAUCUUUACAAUCUUCAUGGUGAUCAUGAAAGGUACAUACAUUUCUUGUUAUGUUAAAAGAGGUGAAAUCAAAAUGACAGAUAAAUUUAUCUUCAUUCUAUAUAUAUUACUUCAAUCCACUAUUCAUUCAAGCCAUCUAAUUCAUUAACUUUAUAUAUUUUAAAAACUUGCUUUCUUUUUUGAUGAUUUUAGUUGUUCAGAGAGAGCUUGAUUAAUUCAAGGAUACUAUAUGGAACUUACACCGAAUCAGCUAUCAACGAGAUAUUUUGAUGCCUGAUGGCAUACCUGAUUAUAUUUAUAAGUUUCCCGAAAAAUAUGCUUUAACUGAGUGUGCCGGUGCAUUUUAUGCAAAAA
This is a long non-coding RNA of Hydractinia symbiolongicarpus, 573 nucleotides long. RefSeq lists it as uncharacterized. The transcript has 3 exons. The record is from RefSeq and is a predicted model, not a curated record. NCBI's taxonomy places the organism in Eukaryota, Metazoa, Cnidaria, Hydrozoa, Anthoathecata, Hydractiniidae.